Molecule: ribosomal RNA, 538 nt
Filed under: uncultured Bacteroides sp.
Lineage: Bacteria; Pseudomonadati; Bacteroidota; Bacteroidia; Bacteroidales; Bacteroidaceae
Description: bacterial SSU rRNA
Rfam family: Bacterial small subunit ribosomal RNA
Source: RNAcentral
AUAGCGAUAAGGCAUCUUAUUGCUAUUAAAGAAUUUCGGUGUUUGAUGGGGAUGCGUUCCAUUAGAUUGUUGGUGAGGUAACGGCUCACCAAGUCUUCGAUGGAUAGGGGUUCUGAGAGGAAGGUCCCCCACAUUGGAACUGAGACACGGUCCAAACUCCUACGGGAGGCAGCAGUGAGGAAUAUUGGUCAAUGGACGAGAGUCUGAACCAGCCAAGUAGCGUGAAGGAUGAAGGCCCUAUGGGUCGUAAACUUCUUUUAUAGGGGAAUAAAGUGCGGAACGUGUUCCGCUUUGUAUGUACCCUACGAAUAAGGAUCGGCUAACUCCGUGCCAGCAGCCGCGGUAAUACGGAGGAUCCGAGCGUUAUCCGGAUUUAUUGGGUUUAAAGGGAGCGUAGGUGGACGUAUAAGUCAGUUGUGAAAGUUUGCGGCUCAACCGUAAAAUUGCAGUUGAUACUGUAUGUCUUGAGUGUACAAGAGGUGGGCGGAAUUCGUGGUGUAGCGGUGAAAUGCUUAGAUAUCACGAAGAACUCCGAUUG